AACGAACGCUGGCGGCAUGCCUAACACAUGCAAGUCGAACGAGACCUUCGUGUCUAGUGGCGCACGGGUGCGUAACGCGUGGGAACCUGCCCUUAGGUUCGGAAUAACUCCCUGAAAGGGGUGCUAAUACCGGAUAAUGUCUGCGGACCAAAGAUUUAUCGCCUUUGGAUGGGCCCGCGUUGGAUUAGCUAGUUGGUAGGGUAAAAGCCUACCAAGGCGACGAUCCAUAGCUGGUCUGAGAGGAUGAUCAGCCACACUGGGACUGAGACACGGCCCAGAAUCCUACGGGAGGCAGCAGUGGGGAAUAUUGGAAAAUGGGCGAAAGCAUGAUCCAGCAAUGCCGCGUGAGUGAUGAAGGCCUUAGGGUUGUAAAGCUCUUUUACCCGGGAUGAUAAUGACAGUACCGGGAGAAUAAGCUCCGGCUAACUCCGUG
RNAcentral lists this ribosomal RNA (433 nucleotides) under uncultured bacterium. RNAcentral's name for it is "partial 16S ribosomal RNA". It matches the Rfam family "Bacterial small subunit ribosomal RNA", at positions 29 to 507 of the family's 1533-position model. The record is from RNAcentral.